This 253-nucleotide ribosomal RNA is filed under the name uncultured bacterium. RNAcentral describes it as "partial 16S ribosomal RNA". It matches the Rfam family "Bacterial small subunit ribosomal RNA", at positions 524 to 776 of the family's 1533-position model. The record is from RNAcentral.
UACGUAGGGGGCAAGCGUUGUCCGGAAUUACUGGGCGUAAAGCGCGCGCAGGCGGUUCUUCAAGUCAGAGGUGAAAGCCCAGAGCUCAACUCUGGAAUGGCCUUUGAGACUAGAGAACUAGGGUACGGGAGAGGUGAGUGGAAUUCCGAGUGUAGAGGUGAAAUUCGUAGAUAUUCGGAAGAACACCAGUGGCGAAGGCGGCUCACUGGCCCGUUACCGACGCUCAGGCGCGACAGCGUGGGGAGCAAACAGG